GAUUUAUGCACCGGGGCUCAGUUGCGCUGCAGGUCCACAGCCCAAUAACAUCUUGUCGUCGUCCCGACUCACCGCCGCCGUCAUCAUGAGUUCAUGACUGGCCUACCGAUCGCCGCACCAGGCCCUCGCGCGGGGCAAUAGAACUAUAGAAGUCCUCACCCCCUCCGACGACAGCGCCGAUCGUUACGCCGCCGGUUAGUCCGGCACGUGAACUAACCACGAUCUCCCCCGAUGGCGUCGUCGUUCAAGCCGCACGCCGCACCGAAGAGGCGCGCCCUCGCCACGUUCAACAUCGGGGCUCUGCCCCUGGACCUCCUCGUGUACGAGAUUCUGCUGCGCCUCCCCGCCAAGCUCCUCUGCCGACUGCGCACGGUGUGCCGGUUGUGGCGGUCCAUCCUCUCUGACCCGCACUUCGCCGCGGCCCACGCCAUGCGGCACCCGGGGCCGCUCAUCAUCGCCGCCAUCGAUGAGAGACCCGACGUGCACGUCAACAUCAUGGAUCUGUCAGGGCAAAUCUUAAAGCAGGUGCGCGGCGUGCCGGGUCAGAGAGUCGUGAGCACGGCCCUUGACCUCGUCUUUGUCAAGAAAACCGAUAGCAGCAGCAGCAGCUACCGAUUCUGCAACCCGUUUAGCGGAGACGUGCAUUACUUACCAGAUCAAUUGCUCAACCCAGCAACUGGAGCUGUGUAUCAAAUACCAAACAGCUUCGCCGAAGAACACAUAGAUUUCACAUCGAGCUUUAUUUCACAGUCCAGAUAUCUGUUUGGUCAGGUUAGCAGCACAGGGGAAUACAAGGUGUUCCGGAAGCUUUACCAUCUUUCCGUUCAGUUUGGAGGCAGGCAGCUGCUCGAGAUCUGCACAGUCAACGGUAGCAACCACACAGGGUGGAGGGCAGUCACGCCCCUCGAAAAAAACAUUCAGUUUGGUGUGUUCACCAGUGUGGUAAUUAAUGGAAUCAUCUACUCCCAAUGUUUUGAUCCGCACCAUUCUAUCACUUAUGAUUGUCGAGCUACUGAGGAAGACUUGAUAAUUACAUUUGACAUUGAGACUGAGAAAUGGGGGCCAUUUAUGCGAGGACCCCCCAUCAGCUUUUCUGAUGCUGCUGCUCAGGUGUUCAAUGACCUUCGGCUUCCACCUAUAAAGCAGCUAACAUUAGCCAAUCUGAAUGGCUCUUUAGCUGUUGUGCAUGGCCCAGCUCCCAGUAUGGACAUUUGGAUUCUGAUGGACUCUGGUAAGGGUCUCUGGGUCAAACAAUACAUCAUACAGUUCAAAGAGUAUGCCAGUUUUCAAUAUGUGCAUCCAUUGGUGGUAUUACGUGACGGAAGGGUGGUCCUAUAUAAAGAAGACAUGCAGCUUUUACAGAUCUAUGACCCAAGAACUAACACACUCACAGAUUCCGUGGAGGUGUGCCAUUUUUCUGCAGUUGCUUUGUUUGGAGGAAAUCUACUGAGUUUAUAAUAUUACUAUACGGCACGGCACCUUCGGCGAGGACUCAACUCAACAGAGAAUGAUUUGACAAACAUUGAUCCGCCAGCUCAACUCUGAAAAAGAAAAGAGGAGAAUCUCUCUAGCUUGUGGAAUCACUUCCCUGGAUGCUUAGAUAGCUCGAGAAAGUCUUGCAGGAUCGCAUCUAUUGCUUCUUGUGCUCAUCGCAGGGCUGUCUAGUAUCAGUGGUGGCAAUAUCUUUAGCUAUAUUCUUUCUCUUUGUCUUGGCCUUGACCUUCACAGCUUUAGAUGCUGGUGCUGCACCACUUGUGUGCUCUGUAGAUGUUCAGGUUGAUUUGAGCCUUCUUUGGAUCUGUAAAAAUGCAUUCAUUUUAGUUAAACUUCGAGAGUUAUACCGUUUAGUACCAACAAUUUAUUGAUUUAAAACUGUGAGAAAAUUAGAUCUACUCAUAAGCCAAUUUUUAUGUGAAUUUUCAUGCAUUUGACAAAAUCAGAUAUGUUUACAGGAUGUUUCCCUACAAGCGAAAAUAUUAAAUCAGGGUCAUUUGCCUUUAAA
Zea mays is the source of this 2002-nucleotide RNA transcript. It is a transcript of the gene named putative F-box protein, with no coding region annotated. Lineage: Eukaryota; Viridiplantae; Streptophyta; Magnoliopsida; Poales; Poaceae. The transcript is spliced from 4 exons. The record is from RefSeq and is marked validated.